Molecule: ribosomal RNA, 253 nt
Filed under: uncultured bacterium
Lineage: Bacteria
Description: partial 16S ribosomal RNA
Rfam family: Archaeal small subunit ribosomal RNA
Source: RNAcentral
UACCAGCACCCCGAGUGGUCGGGACGAUUAUUGGGCCUAAAGCAUCCGUAGCCGGUCCUACAAGUCUUCCGUUAAAUCCACCUGCUUAACAGAUGGGCUGCGGAAGAUACUAUAGAGCUAGGAGGCGGGAGAGGCAAGCGGUACUCGAUGGGUAGGGGUAAAAUCCGUUGAUCCAUUGAAGACCACCAGUGGCGAAGGCGGCUUGCCAGAACGCGCUCGACGUUUAGGGAUGAAAGCUGGGGGAGCAAACCGG